Molecule: ribosomal RNA, 306 nt
Filed under: uncultured eukaryote
Lineage: Eukaryota
Description: SSU rRNA
Rfam family: Eukaryotic small subunit ribosomal RNA
Source: RNAcentral
AAUAAUUUAUUUGAUGGUUCCUUACUACAUGGAUAACUGUGGUAAUUCUAGAGCUAAUACAUGCGUAAAGGCCCGACUCUCGCGGGGAGGGCUGUAUUUAUUAGAUAAAAAACCAAUACGCUUCUGGCGUUUUUGUGGUGAAUCAUAGUAACUUUUCGAAUCGCAUGGCUUCACGCCGGCGAUAGUUCAUUCAAAUUUCUGCCCUAUCAGCUUUCGACGGUAGUGUAGUGGACUACCGUGGCGUUAACGGGUAACGGAGAAUUAGGGUUCGAUUCAGGAGAGGGAGCCUGAGAAACGGCUACCACA